UCAAGCUGGCGGCGUGCCUAACACAUGCAAGUCGAACGAGAAAGUGGAGCAAUCCAUGAGUAAAGUGGCGACCGGGUGAGUAACACGUGACUAACCUACCUCCGAGGUGGGGAAUAACUCCGGGAAACCGGGGCUAAUACCGCAUAACAUCGCAAGAUCAAAGCAGCAAUGCGCUUGGAGAGGGGGUCGCGGCUGAUUAGCUAGUUGGCGGGGUAACGGCCCACCAAGGCGAAGAUCGGUAUCCGGCCUGAGAGGGCGCACGGACACACUGGAACUGAAACACGGUCCAGACUCCUACGGGAGGCAGCAGUGGGGAAUUUUGCGCAAUGGGGGAAACCCUGACGCAGCAACGCCGCGUGGAGGAUGAAGCCCUUUGGGGCGUAAACUCCUUUCGACCAAGACGAUAAUGACGGUACUGGUGGAAGAAGCACCGGCUAACUCUGUGCCAGCAGCCGCGGUAAUACAGAGGGUGCAAGCGUUGUUCGGAAUUAUUGGGCGUAAAGGGCGCGUAGGCGGUGCCACAAGUCACCUGUGAAACCUCCGGGCUUNACUCGGAGCCUGCAGGCGAAACUGUGGUGCUGGA
Molecule: ribosomal RNA, 583 nt
Filed under: uncultured bacterium
Lineage: Bacteria
Description: bacterial SSU rRNA
Rfam family: Bacterial small subunit ribosomal RNA
Source: RNAcentral